This 381-nucleotide ribosomal RNA is filed under the name Triticum aestivum (bread wheat). RNAcentral's name for it is "partial small subunit ribosomal RNA". Lineage: Eukaryota; Viridiplantae; Streptophyta; Magnoliopsida; Poales; Poaceae. The record is from RNAcentral.
AUUUUUACUUGUCCCGUUGCUAGAGUGAUGUGGAGAACAGUGGGCUGUGUGCUGGGCACGGAUCUUUGCCCUAACAACAUUUGACAAUAUUUCGCGUGGUGUUACACCUUCCUUCCUGAUGGGGAGAGAUUUUAUACCUUUGGCCUAGCUGCUCUAUGCUGGGCGACGUGGAAUAGUCCUAAUAAGAAAACCUUUGAAUUCAAAAAAAUGAGAUCUCCCUUUGAUGUGGUAUAUUCUGCAUAUGGCUUUCUUACCUAUUGGGCAGGAAUGCUGAUGGGCGAUGAUCGGGACGCAAUGGAGCGAGGAUCUAAGAUGCUAAGGAUCAACGUCUGAAACAUGAUGAGGAUCUGCGCGGCGCCAUGUGAUCCGAUGCAGAGCUGA